CGAGAAAGCCCGCAAGGGUGAGUAAAGCGGCGCACGGGUGCGUAACACGUGGGUAAUCUGCCCUGGAGCCCGGAAUAACUUCCCGAAAGGGAUACUAAUGCCGGAUGAGACCACGGGAGCUCCGGCUCUCGCGGGAAAAGGUGGCCUCUGUACACAAGCUAUCACUUCAGGAUGAGCCCGCGGCCCAUCAGCUAGUUGGCGGGGUAAUGGCCCACCAAGGCAACGACGGGUAGCUGGUCUGAGAGGACGAUCAGCCACACUGGAACUGAGACACGGUCCAGACUCCUACGGGAGGCAGCAGUGGGGAAUCUUGCGCAAUGGGCGAAAGCCUGACGCAGCAACGCCGCGUGUGUGAUGAAGGUCUUCGGAUCGUAAAGCACUGUCGCGAGGGACG
RNAcentral lists this ribosomal RNA (394 nucleotides) under uncultured Anaeromyxobacter sp. Its description in RNAcentral is "bacterial SSU rRNA". It matches the Rfam family "Bacterial small subunit ribosomal RNA", at positions 67 to 447 of the family's 1533-position model. The record is from RNAcentral. Lineage: Bacteria; Pseudomonadati; Myxococcota; Myxococcia; Myxococcales; Anaeromyxobacteraceae.